RNAcentral lists this ribosomal RNA (32 nucleotides) under Colletotrichum magnum. Its description in RNAcentral is "partial 28S ribosomal RNA". The record is from RNAcentral. Lineage: Eukaryota; Fungi; Ascomycota; Sordariomycetes; Glomerellales; Glomerellaceae.
CAAGGUUGACCUCGGAUCAGGUAGGAAUACCC